Molecule: ribosomal RNA, 252 nt
Filed under: uncultured bacterium
Lineage: Bacteria
Description: partial 16S ribosomal RNA
Rfam family: Bacterial small subunit ribosomal RNA
Source: RNAcentral
GAUCCUGGCUCAGGAUGAACGCUAGCUACAGGCUUAACACAUGCAAGUCGAGGGGCAGCAUUUUAGUUUGCUUGCAAACUGAAGAUGGCGACCGGCGCACGGGUGAGUAACACGUAUCCAACCUGCCGAUAACUCCGGGAUAGCCUUUCGAAAGAAAGAUUAAUACCGGAUAGUAUACGAAUAUCGCAUGAUAUUUUUAUUUAAAGAAAUUUCGGUUAUCGAUGGGGAGUGCGUUCCAUUAGUUUGUUUGGG